Molecule: small nucleolar RNA, 128 nt
Filed under: Acanthisitta chloris (rifleman)
Lineage: Eukaryota; Metazoa; Chordata; Aves; Passeriformes; Acanthisittidae
Source: RNAcentral
UGGCACUGUUCGUAACCUGUUAGCAGCCUCCUCCUGGUAAUGGGUUCCAUUCCAGUGCUACAUGACACCCCAAGGUAAUCGAAGGCUGGCUUUUUGUCUGCCUGUCCCUCUUAUUUUGGGGGACAUAA